This 232-nucleotide long non-coding RNA is filed under the name Vigna radiata. RNAcentral describes it as "long non-coding RNA (VRAD_LNC000438)". The record is from RNAcentral. Lineage: Eukaryota; Viridiplantae; Streptophyta; Magnoliopsida; Fabales; Fabaceae.
AAAGGCGUGUAUCUUGACUAUUGAGUCUACAUGUAUCUAUAUGAUUUAUUGUUUUAUUUCAUGUUUAGGUUAUAUUUGAUAUGAUUUAAUUGUUUAUGAAAAUUCUUAUACACAUUAGUUUAACCUCUUAUCUCCUUAGGUGUCUAAUACGCGGUCGUUGAAGCUAUCAAAUUAAUACUUCUUUUCAAGGCAAUUUCAGUAUUGUCAAGUAGUAUCCAAGAAAAUAGACAGG